UAGCGAGGGGGGCGAGCGUUGUUCGGAAUUGUUGGGCGUAAAGGGUGCGUAGGCGGUUUGGUAAGUCUUAUGUGAAAUCUACAGGCUCAACUUGUAGUCUGCAUGAGAAACUGCCGGGCUUGAGUAUGGGAGAGGUGAGUGGAAUUCCUGGUGUAGCGGUGAAAUGCGUAGAUAUCAGGAGGAACACCUGUGGCGAAAGCGGCUCACUGGACCAUAACUGACGCUGAUGCACGAAAGCUAGGGGAGCAAACAGG
This 254-nucleotide ribosomal RNA is filed under the name uncultured bacterium. RNAcentral describes it as "partial 16S ribosomal RNA". It matches the Rfam family "Bacterial small subunit ribosomal RNA", at positions 523 to 776 of the family's 1533-position model. The record is from RNAcentral.